GUAGGUGAACCUGCGGAAGGAUCAUUAACACGUGAUACUCACGUAUUAACCAAACGCGAAAUGUUGUUAAGCCUCCCCUGGUCCUGAGCUGCCUGCUUGGUAAUGGUAUGACUUCGGUCUAACUUGCGGGCUCAGCGCGCUCGACGCGCGGUUCAUUCCAGUGGGAGUAGAUGAAUGUCAACUGCUUAUUCAGCCUGUACCUUGGCUUGCAGUUGAUGUGAGCUUAUUAUUUACCCCUUAUUUAUAUUUA
Molecule: unclassified non-coding RNA, 250 nt
Filed under: plant metagenome
Description: partial contains small subunit ribosomal RNA, internal transcribed spacer 1, and 5.8S ribosomal RNA
Source: RNAcentral